RNAcentral lists this ribosomal RNA (423 nucleotides) under uncultured bacterium. RNAcentral's name for it is "partial small subunit ribosomal RNA". It matches the Rfam family "Bacterial small subunit ribosomal RNA", at positions 369 to 808 of the family's 1533-position model. The record is from RNAcentral.
CAAUGGGCGAAGCCUGAUGCAGCGACGCCGCGUGAGCGAAGAAGUAUUUCCGUAUGUAAAGCUCUAUCAGCAGGGNAAGAUAAUGACGGUACCUGCACUAAGAAGCACCGGCUAAAUACGUGCCAGCAGCCGCGGUAAUACGUAUGGUGCAAGCGUUAUCCGGAUUUACUGGGUGUAAAGGGAGCGUAGNCGGNAUNGCAAGUCNGAUGUGAAAACUAUGGGCUNAACCCGUNAACUGCAUUUGAAACUGUGGUUCUUGAGUGANGUAGAGGUAAGCGGAAUUCCUAGUGUAGCGGUGAAAUGCGUAGAUAUUAGGAGGAACAUCAGUGGCGAAGGCGGCUUACUGGGCUNUAACUGACGCUGAGGCUCGAAAGCGUGGGGAGCAAACAGGAUUAGAUACCCUGGUAGUCCAAGGGCGAAUUC